Molecule: long non-coding RNA, 889 nt
Filed under: Setaria italica (foxtail millet)
Lineage: Eukaryota; Viridiplantae; Streptophyta; Magnoliopsida; Poales; Poaceae
Description: long non-coding RNA (SITA_LNC002964)
Source: RNAcentral
UGGCGAGACAUAGUGAAACUCAUUGACUUAUACAAGGGGAUAGCUUCUGCUAGAGUUUCGGAUGGUAGUACAGUUUUGUUCUGGAAGGAUACUUGGAACAAUCAUCUCCUAUCCCGUGAUCUUCCACAGCUAGCUUCCUUUGCAAAAGAUGAAAGAAUCACACUCAAGGAGGUUUUACAAGGCCAUUUGCUCAAUACAGCGCAUCUUCCUUUGUCAGCAGAGGCACAUGGCCAGUUUGCACAAUUACAAGAAAUCUUACAACAGAUAGACAAUCCACAGCCUCAAGACCUAUGGGUUUACAACUGGGGUAAUCCUAUCUUCUCAGCUUCCAAGACAUACAAAACCCUCAUCGGAGAAAGAGGAGCUCACCCGAUUCACAGUUGGCUAUGGAGAUCAAAAUGUCAAAACAAGCACAAAGUUUUCUUUUGGCUACUUAUCCAAGACAAAGUUAAUACCAAAGAUGUCCUCAGCAGGAGGUCCAUGGUUUUGGAAUCCACAACUUGUGAAAUGUGCAUCCUACAAAAACGUGAGACAACAACACAUCUCUUCCUGCGAUGCAAUUUUGCCAAGGCCUGUUGGCGCUCGGUUGGCAUCACUUUCCCCUCCACCAGAUCGGCCACCUCCAUCUUCAAUAGUAUUCGAAGACAGCUGCUUUUGCCUUUCUCUAUGGAAAUCAUAAUUCUCAUGACUUGGAGUAUUUGGACAACCAGAAAUGAUUGGACUUUCAAUAAUGUGGCUCCGACGAUCAGGGACGUCACAAGGAAAUUUGUUUCAGAAUUUCGUCUGGUAGCUCUUCAUAGGGCUAGGACCCAUUUGCAGCUCCUGAUGUUAGACUGGGUAGACGCUUUGUAACUUGCUGGUUGAACUCCUUUUUCUCCCUCUCCUUUCU